AACAGGAUUAGAUACCCUGGUAGUCCACGCCGUAAACGAUGUCGACUUGGAGGCUGUUCCCUUGAGGAGUGGCUUCCGGAGCUAACGCGUUAAGUCGACCGCCUGGGGAGUACGGCCGCAAGGUUAAAACUCAAAUGAAUUGACGGGGGCCCGCACAAGCGGUGGAGCAUGUGGUUUAAUUCGAUGCAACGCGAAGAACCUUACCUACUCUUGACAUCCAGAGAACUUUCCAGAGAUGGAUUGGUGCCUUCGGGAACUCUGAGACAGGUGCUGCAUGGCUGUCGUCAGCUCGUGUUGUGAAAUGUUGGGUUAAGUCCCGCAACGAGCGCAACCCUUAUCCUUUGUUGCCAGCGAUUCGGUCGGGAACUCAAAGGAGACUGCCGGUGAUAAACCGGAGGAAGGUGGGGAUGACGUCAAGUCAUCAUGGCCCUUACGAGUAGGGCUACACACGUGCUACAAUGGCGCAUACAAAGAGAAGCGACCUCGCGAGAGCAAGCGGACCUCAUAAAGUGCGUCGUAGUCCGGAUCGGAGUCUGCAACUCGACUCCGUGAAGUCGGAAUCGCUAGUAAUCGUGGAUCAGAAUGCCACGGUGAAUACGUUCCCGGGCCUUGUACACACCGCCCGUCACACCAUGGGAGUGGGUUGCAAAAGAAGUAGGUAGCUUAACCUUCGGGAGGGCGCUUACCACUUUGUGAUUCAUGACUGGGGUGAAGUCGUAACAAGGUAGC
RNAcentral lists this ribosomal RNA (729 nucleotides) under uncultured bacterium. Its description in RNAcentral is "bacterial SSU rRNA". It matches the Rfam family "Bacterial small subunit ribosomal RNA", at positions 771 to 1500 of the family's 1533-position model. The record is from RNAcentral.